RNAcentral lists this ribosomal RNA (377 nucleotides) under uncultured bacterium. RNAcentral's name for it is "bacterial SSU rRNA". It matches the Rfam family "Bacterial small subunit ribosomal RNA", at positions 521 to 896 of the family's 1533-position model. The record is from RNAcentral.
UAAAACGUAGGUCCCGAGCGUUAUCCGGAUUUACUGGGCGUAAAGCGCGUUCAGGCGGUGGGCUAAGUCAGGCAUGAAAUCUCACGGCUCAACCGAGAGAGGCUGUCUGAGACUGGCACACUUGAGGGCAGUCGAGGGUGGUGGAAUUCCGGGUGUAGUGGUGAAAUGCGUAGAGAUCCGGAGGAACACCAGUGGCGAAAGCGGCCACCUGGGCUGUACCUGACGCUGACACGCGAAAGCUAGGGGAGCGAACGGGAUUAGAAACCCCGGUAGUCCUAGCCGUAAACGAUGUUGACCAGGUGUCGGCGGUCUAAACCCCGUCGGUGCCGGCGCUAACGCACGAAGUCAACCGCCUGGGGACUACGGCCGCAAGGUUA